RNAcentral lists this ribosomal RNA (476 nucleotides) under Streptococcus mitis. Its description in RNAcentral is "bacterial SSU rRNA". It matches the Rfam family "Bacterial small subunit ribosomal RNA", at positions 28 to 489 of the family's 1533-position model. The record is from RNAcentral. Lineage: Bacteria; Bacillati; Bacillota; Bacilli; Lactobacillales; Streptococcaceae.
GACGAACGCUGGCGGCGUGCCUAAUACAUGCAAGUAGAACGCUGAAGGAGGAGCUUGCUUCUCUGGAUGAGUUGCGAACGGGUGAGUAACGCGUAGGUAACCUGCCUGGUAGCGGGGGAUAACUAUUGGAAACGAUAGCUAAUACCGCAUAAUAGUAGAUGUUGCAUGACAUUUGCUUAAAAGGUGCAAUUGCAUCACUACCAGAUGGACCUGCGUUGUAUUAGCUAGUUGGUGAGGUAACGGCUCACCAAGGCGACGAUACAUAGCCGACCUGAGAGGGUGAUCGGCCACACUGGGACUGAGACACGGCCCAGACUCCUACGGGAGGCAGCAGUAGGGAAUCUUCGGCAAUGGACGGAAGUCUGACCGAGCAACGCCGCGUGAGUGAAGAAGGUUUUCGGAUCGUAAAGCUCUGUUGUAAGAGAAGAACGAGUGUGAGAGUGGAAAGUUCACACUGUGACGGUAUCUACCAGAAA